GGAGACGUCGCAUAGCCCGGUCGAGCGCGCCUCACUGCUAACGAGAUAAGGGGUUAAACCCUUCAGGAGUUCAAAUCUCCUCGUCUCCGCCA
Molecule: transfer RNA, 92 nt
Filed under: Actinomycetota bacterium
Lineage: Bacteria; Bacillati; Actinomycetota
Also listed under: 1 other name
Description: Actinobacteria bacterium tRNA-Ser
Rfam family: tRNA
About the family: Transfer RNA (tRNA) molecules are approximately 80 nucleotides in length. Their secondary structure includes four short double-helical elements and three loops (D, anti-codon, and T loops).
Source: RNAcentral